GUCUACAGCCAUGCUCCCCUGCACAAGCCCAAUCCCAUCUGAUCUCGGAGGCUAAGCAGGGUCGGACCUGGUUAGUACUUGAAUGGAAGAACGCCUAGGAAGACCAGGUGCUGUAAGCG
This 119-nucleotide ribosomal RNA is filed under the name Pteropus alecto (black flying fox). Lineage: Eukaryota; Metazoa; Chordata; Mammalia; Chiroptera; Pteropodidae. The record is from RNAcentral.